AUACAUCAUAUGCCUAUUAUGCUAAGAGAAUUCUUAUUUAAAAAACUAUUCAUAAAGUUUAUAACAUAUUUAUGUAUAUAUAAUAAAGAACAAGUAUAUAAAUAUAUAAAAAACGUGAAUGAUAUUGAAAUAUAUCAGCAAGUUUUUGAAACGCAUAACAACAUAAAUGUUUUAUUAUUUUUGAAAGAAAAACAAGGAGACAUUGGAUAUAUUGUUGAAUUGUGUUUAACAGAAAUAAAAAAAAACAUUUUAAUACUUUAUGAUACUUUUAAUCUAAAAAACAAAUGGGUUUAUCCAAAAAAUGUUACUUACGACGACAUUUUUUAUGUUAAUUUUGCAACCUAUGUGCAGGUAUACAAUUUGUAUGCAAUGCCGUAUAAAAAAGAGAUAAAAAAAAAGUUACUACUUGUUAACAAAAGAAAGAAGGUGAAGCAGUGCGAAAACUGUAGUGACGAUAGCAAAAGUAGUAAUUACCAAUUUGAGCACACGAUGUAUAAGUCGACAUUUCUAAAUGCUAUGCUUAAACAAGUAAACAAAAACGACUAUAAUAAACAUUUUUUCAAUGAUUAUUAUGCUGGUAUAAAAAACAAACUUAUCUCGAUGAGUACAAAUGGAAAUCUUUCGCAUCAUGGUAAAAAGAAACGCAUGAGAGUUGGUUUGUACAAUAAAGGCACUGAUGACAGUGGUAAUAGUGGCCACGAGUUAAAGGGGGGAAAAAAUAUGCAAUAUGGUUAUUUAUUUGUUAAAUCAAAAUAUAAUUGUUAUUUAAACAGAAAUAAAUUGUUAUUAAAAAAAAGAAAAAAUGAAAAAAUGACUCAAAGAAAUAAAAAGCUGUGGAAAUCUUUCUGGAUUUAUAACACAAAAGAAUAUAAUUUAAUUUUUUUACAUUUGUAUAUGCUAUUGUUUAUUUUGAAAAAAAAUAAAAUAAAAAAUAAAAAAAUAUAUGAACAUAUCAUAUUUUUCGUCAUAAAUGAAUGUUUAAAAAGUUUUAUUAACAUUUAUGACUACUUGAAUGAAAAAGAAAAUAAUGCAUGUGACAGUAAUCAAAGCCGAAACAACAUAAAUGAAAAAAAAAUUAUUUUUUUUAACUACAUUUUUGAGCAAAUAAUAGUAUUCACAAUCAACGCAAACUCGUAUAAAAUCUCAGAUAAAAUAUGUAGAAAAUUAUUACAUAACUAUAAAGAUAUAAACAUAAAUAUAAUGAAAUUACCACUAAUUGUAUUAUUAAAAAAUAUAACUGAUUUAUAUAUUUUAUCUAUUGGUAAUUAUAAAAUUACAAAUAACAAAAUAAAAGAACAGAUGAAUAUUUAUACUUGUGAAAAAAAAAAAGGAGUUGUUAUA
RNAcentral lists this long non-coding RNA (1341 nucleotides) under Piliocolobus tephrosceles (Ugandan red Colobus). RNAcentral's name for it is "lncRNA (ENSPTEG00000011284.1)". The record is from RNAcentral. Lineage: Eukaryota; Metazoa; Chordata; Mammalia; Primates; Cercopithecidae.